Molecule: long non-coding RNA, 8143 nt
Organism: Loxodonta africana (African savanna elephant)
Lineage: Eukaryota; Metazoa; Chordata; Mammalia; Proboscidea; Elephantidae
Exons: 4
Source: RefSeq, a predicted model, not a curated record
UGCUGUUCACCUGGCAGGCUUCUAGACACCAGAGUACCCUUGGGCUUGGUGCCUGCUCCUCUCUCUACUGACACCCUCCCUCUAGGAUGCCUCAGUGAGUUCACUGCUGUCUAUUUGUAGCUAAGGACCUGAGGUUUAUACCUCCAUCCAUUCAAACUCCUCCUGGGUCCAGAGUCAUAUAUUCAAAUGUCAGCCUAACUCUCUGUAUUGACCUCUUUAUGCAUUAUAAUGAUACAUUCCUCAUAUGGCCAUCACGAAAAGCAAACAUGAAAGAAAAAGCACGGGAGUGCCUGGCACCAGUGUAGGUACUCAAUGAACAUUAGCUGUUGGUAUUAUCCUUGACAUCCCCAUGUGGGGUGAAGUUUUAUUACCUGACAUUUCCGUGUGAAUAUCUAACAGCUACACCAUGUUAUCUAGGCUAUGAAACAAUUCUUGGUUCCAACCACCAUUCUGUCCUUAUCGAUGAAUUUCUCAAGGCUUCGGUGAUGGGAGUGUGUGUUUUUCCACACAAUGGACGUGAUUAGGAAUGGUUGGCUAUGUCCUACACAAUAAAUUGCUCCAGCAUUCCUAUGGGUGACCAUUGAGACAAGUUUCAGCCAACGAAUGUAGCAAAGAAUUGGAACCACUCUCAGCUGUUCAUGCGAGUACUCUCAAUCCAGAAUAUCUGGUAAAUCGACUGUUAGGGAUUGAAUUGUGUCCCUCCACAAUGUAUGUGGAAAUCCUAACCCCUGUACCUGUAAAUCUGACCUUGUUAGGAAAGGGGGGGCCUGCUUUUAUUAUGUGAAUGAGGUCAUACCAAUGUAGGGUGGGUCCUAAGCCUAACUCCUCUUAGUUAUAAAAGGAGCAGAAUACACACAGACACAAACAGAUGAAAAGGAAGACAGACAAAGAAGACAGAUGCUUCUAGAAGGCCAGGAACACAAAUGAUUGCUGGCAUCUACUAGAAGCUGAGGUAGACAAGGAAGGACCUCCCACUACAGCCAUGCCCUGAAUUCGAACGACUACCUGCUAAACUGUGAGAAAAUAAAUUUCUGUUCUUUAAAGCCAUCCAGUUGUGUUAUUUUUUGUUAUGGAGGGACUAGGUAACUAACACACAUACCCGUUCUUAUAAGUUCAGCCCAGUGCAGAAUAAUUUUCUUCCCUCCUUGGUCUAACCCACCCGAACCUGCUCUUUCCCUAUCAGUGUCCUUUGCUUUCACCUAAGAGCUAUGACAGAGUCAGCUCGAUGGUGAUGCAUUGAAAUUUCAAUUUAUUUUUUAUUUAUGAUUACUAUUAAUUCCAGUAUUUUCUACAGUUUUCAAUGGAGACAGUCCUAUAAUCUAUGAAUAGCAGUUAUACUUUUUCUCUUUUUGUACUAGCUUACACUUCCAGUGUUCAAUGUUUAAUAAAAGUAAUGAUAGAAGCACCCUUAUUUUAUUGUUUAUUAAUUUUAAAGAGAAUGUCCCACACGUCACCAUGAACUAUCAUGCUAGUUGUAGUUUUCUACGUUUGGGAACUCCUUUUCUGUUCCAUAUUUGCUCCUAGUCCUUAUCUCUCCGUGUGAUUGGAUUUUAUCAACCUGCUUUGCCCCCAUCUCUUGAGGUGAGCAUAUGUCUUCUCUUCUUUCACCUAUGCAUGUGGUGAAUGAAAUUACUAAAUCUUUAACGUUCACUCAAAUUUAUAUGCCUACAAUAAACCGCCUUGAUCAUGGCAUGUUACGUGGUUUAUACUUUGCUGGAUUUCCUUUGCUGGCAUCUUACGUAGGGUUUUGCAUCUCAGUUACUGAGUGUGCUUGUCCUCUAACUCUUCUCUACCAUCCUUCUCUAAUUUGUUAUCAUUUUUAAACUAGCCUUAAGGAUCAAGUUAGGGGAGUAUCUCAUGGUUUUCUAAUCUCUGUUGACUAUGUACAAGAUUAAAGUUACUGUUUCUUGCAUGUUUGCUGGAACCUGACUGGAAACGAUCUAGGUCUGCCAUUUUCUUUGUAGGGAGAUCUUGAAGUACUGACCCAUUUUAUUUAGUGGUUAAAGGCAUCUUCUGGUGCUAAUUUACUUAGAAAAAAUUCUGAUGCAUGUUCUAGGUUGCUCGAAUCUCAUCUUCAAAUAUUGAUUAUCAGGGCUUGUAGCCUCAUGCAAGGCAAUUCAUCAAUCCCAGAUUUCCCCAAAGUCAGGCUCUGCAACUCUUCCUGGUACCAAAUUCCCUCAUUUAAGACUUAUUUGCAAAGAGACAACAGUAUGCUAUCUACGCAGUUGUUUAUCCGCAGCCUUCUUGAGUCCAUAAUGUGAGGAUACAGUCUUCUAAUACUUUUUUUGUAAUUGUUCUUUUUCUUAUUUUUUUUUCCUUUUUUCACUGCCAAAACCCACCUCCCCAGUCUAGUAGUUUUAAAGUUGUGAGUUUCAGGUUCAAGUCUGUAAUCCAGCUGAGCUUCUGUGUGUGCUGCAUGUGUGCAUCAAAAGAACACGCUUCUAGAAGCAGAAAGCAGGCAGUGCGACUGUUGGGUGGUUGGUGGGGUAGGGGGAGGGGAGCUGCUGCUCAGAGACAGCACCCGAGGGAGGCACGAGAUGCCGGGCUGCCCACCGCAAGCCCGCAGGCUCCAAGGAGGAGGAAACUGCGUGCGCCAUGAGCCUUUUGAGACAGGCCCAAGCCCACCUAGCCGGGUGCUAACCUCACAUCUGCCAGGCUUGCAGGUUCCACCAGGACUAGGGGAAGCCUAAGGCCAAGGAGGGCAAGGUCUAGGGUCUGGACCUGAAAACUGGUUCUGCCACUUGUGAUCACAGCGCUUAUGCUGGAAAGGAGGGCAGGAAGCAUAUCGCAAUGUGUGUCCGGACGAUGACCCAGAAGGGGGGAGUUGUGGUCACCUACGGACUCUGGGUCUGCAUAUGGAGGCCCCCAGGGUGCAAUUCCAGGAGCAGAAGGCAAAGCACAGAGGCCAAAGUGUACCUCGCCGAUGCUUCCCAGGGGCAUUUCCCCAAAUAUGGGGAGCAGUCCCUUCUCUGGGCUAGGGACUUUGUUUCCUCCAUUGUCAUCACUGACUGUGAGCAGACUCUAGUCUAUGAAGACUAAUGAGGAGCUAUCAAAAUGAGCUCCAAACUCCGGAUUUGAGUUAAGGAUCAUAAAUUAACACAGAGAAAUACGACUUUAGCAAUAAGUGACUGUUUGAAGUCCAGGUUGCCUUAAAACACGGAAUUUCAGUCUUUCAGCUCCUCUGCUAAUGUAGUGACUAAGAACAGGAUCUCAGUGGAGCUCAAAGAUGUGGGGCACUGGGAAUACUCUGGGUCUGUCUGCUCACGGCUGAUUGCCUGAUUCCCAGUUUUAUUAUACAGCUUAAAUACAGACCAGAAGAGGAGUUUGGGGCUUGACACCUGACAUCUUAACACCAGUUCCUGUUUCUUGAGGAAGGAAGAGGUAAAAUAAAUCAGCGUUUACUGUGUCCUUCUCCAUCCCCGGAAGUCUUCAUGAAGACCCUCUCAGCUUCAACUUGAACGUGAAUAUGAGCAACUGAUCAUCUGUUCUGCAGUCAGCCCCUGGCCUGAUUCUGACUCAUGAUAUUGACCUUCUCCAUCAUCACCUUCCACAAAUUUGAUUCCUAUCUAUUCUGCCUGGAAUAGCUCACGAGUAUAGUCACCAUUUAUGUUCCUGAUGAAAGCAGGAGAAGGCAUUCGUGGAGAGAGGCGGAUUCCAUGUGUGCAGGCAAAGUGUGUGCUGAGAUGAUGAGUCGCUGGAGACCAGUGUGCACUCUUCAGACCCAGGAUAGGCCUCUGGCAGCAGGAGAAGGCAUUCAUGGAGAGAGGCGGAUUCCAUGUGUGCAGGCAAAGUGUGUGCUGAGAUGAUGAGACCCUGGAGACCAGGGUGGACUCUUCAGACCCAGGAUAGGCCUCUGGCAGGUAUGUGUCAAUAUUUUCUGCCCGUGGCACUCACCCGGGUAUUUGCAUACAAUGUCAUCAGCGGAAUUAGUAGUCUCCGGAGAGGCUUCCACAUGUCAACAACAUUCACCCGGCCAGGGUCCACCCGUGAGGUAGCUCUCCAAUCAAUCACUACUCUCUAGACCUUCCAGAUAGACUAGCAGAUCUUCUCUGCCCAUGGGCAACCAGUAGAGCCAGAGGCCUUCCCCCUUUGCUCUUUCAUCUCUAGGCACUCUGUCAGGCACUCCAAGCUGUGAAGUGACUCGGGGAGAGAAGGAAGAGAUUUCAGAGGAUGAACACAUACAGAGAGAGAGGCAAGAUAUGCUGAGUGGGGAUGUCUUGCGUACUGUUAUCCUGAGGAAAGUGGGAAAAUCGGACCCUGGCCUGCUCUGCCAAUGCCCUGAAGCAGUCCGCACCAGGGGAUCCCUUGUGCCUGCGUAGCCUUUCCCAGGGUGUGCUCAAAUCCUGUGGCCACUAGGUGUCCUAGGUCACAAUGGAGGGCCCUGUGUCAUCUGCCUGGUGGGCUGGAUCUCUGCCACUGGCUGAGUCUUGUCACCAGGCCCAUCGUAAGCUCCGCCCACUCUUCCGGUGGGGGGACUGUCUCCAUGGUGAUGGCAAAGAAGCCUUAGUUCCGCCCACCUGGCCUUCACUUCACCUACCUGGCCUGCUGACCCUCACUCAGACCUCUGUGUUGAUCAAAAUAAAUGUCCGCCAGUGGCCAGGUGUCAGCAUCUGGGACAAAGGAUUCGGGACCUUGCCUGAGGCAGAAGGCAGCCUAGGUCUGUGGGUACCUGGAAGUCUAGUGACUUGUGACGCUGCUGCCAGUGAUAGAUGGUGACUCCCACACUCACAUAUCCCCUGGUGGCAGAAUGAUAGUGAUGGGUGGAGAAACAUGGCUCCAGAGCACAAGUUCAGUGGGGCACCGGCCAAAGGCCAGGGCCAGGAGUGGAUGUCGUGGAGCUGAAUGGUGAGCCAGUGAAGGGCCCAAGGAUUUCUCCAACGAGGUAAAAUGCAGAUCAAGCCAAGGAACACAAAGAUAAAGCAGCUGAAGAAAUUAAAAAGGUUACUCAAGAACAUAAUUAAAAAUUUAAUAAGCUGCAAGAAACCAUAGAGAGACUGCAAUCAGAAAUUCAGAAGAUUAACAAUAAAAUUACAGAGUUAGAAAACUCAAUAGAAAGUAAGAAGAGCACAGUUGAAGAACUGGAAGACAGAAUUACUGAGAUUGAAGAUCAAACUCUUGGGACUAAUAUAUUUGAAGAGACAGCAGAUAAAAGAAUUUUAAAUGAAGAAAUCCAAAGAAUCAUGUGGGACUUUAUCAAGAGAAAUAACUAUGAGUGAUUUCAGUACCAGAACAGGGAGGGCUAACAGAAAAUACAAAGGGAACUGUUGAAGAUUUGUUGGCAGAAAACUUCCAUGAUAUCAUGAAAGAUGCUCAUCGAAUUCCACAUAAGGUAGAUCUCAAAAGAAAGUGACCGAGAGACAUAAUAAUCAAACUUGCCAAAAUCAAAUAUAAAGAGAAUUUUAAGAGAGGCUAGGGAUAAAGGAAGUCACCAACAAAGGAGAGUAAAUAAUAAUAAACUUGGUCUACUCAGCAGAAAUCAUGCAGGCAAGAAGGCAAAGGGAUGACUUAUACAAAAUAUUGAAGGAAAAAAAUUGCCAGCCAGGAAUCAAACCAUAACCCUGGCCCUCUGGCCUUCUGGCCCUCUGGCCUUAGCCCUCUAACUCUAGCCCCUAAGCCCUGAGCCCCAAAGCCCCUAAGACCCUAAGCCCUUAGAUCCUAACCCCCAAGGCCCUAAACUCUAACCUCAACCCAAACCCUAAGCCCUAUACCCUAAACCCUACAACCUAAACACCUACACCCCAAAAUACUACACAUCAAAACCCUACACACUAAACCCUAUACUCUAAGCCUCAAACCCUAAACCCAAACCUCAAAUCCCAAAGCCCAAACCCUAAACCUAACCGUAAACCCUAAACCCUAACACCUAACCCUAACCCCUAACCACCCUAACCCUAACCCUCGAACCCUAACCCUCUAACGCUAACAUGAAACCCUAAUCCGAAACCCUAACCCUCUAACUCUAACCUCUAACCCUAACACUCUAGCCCUAGCCCUAAUCCUAACCCCAACCUCCAAACCCAACCCCAAACCUUAGACCUCAAAUCCCUAGCCCUAAACCUAAGAAUGAGCCUAAGCCUAACCCUAUCACUUAACUCUAAACCCUACACCAUAACACUUAAAACCCUAACACGCAAAACCCUAACACCCUUAGCCCUAACACAUUUAACCCUAACACCCUAAACACCAAAACCCUAAACACUAACACCCAUAACCCCAAACCCCUACCUCGUAAACCCUAAACUUAAACGCUAAACCAUCUAACCCUCUAACCCUAAUACCCUAAACCCUAACCCCAGCCCCCAGCCUUAACGCUCUCUCUAAGCCUUAAACCUUAGGCCCUAAACCCUAGGAUCUAAGCCCUAAGCCCUAAACUCUAAGUCCUAAAACCCUAAACUCUAAGCCCUAAGCCUAACCCUCUAAUCCUAAACCCUAAAACUUUACCCGAAACCCAUCCCAGACCCCUAAACCUGAACCCCUAAGCCCUAGCCCUAACCCCUAACCCUAAACCUCUAAACCAUACCCCUAAUCCUCUAAACCUAAACCUCUAACCCUAAACCUCUAACCCUAACUCUCUAACCCUAACCACAACACCAACCCCAACCUCGGAACCCUGAAACCCUAACCCCCUAACCCCAAGCCUCUGAACCCUAAGCCUAAACCCUCUAACCCUAAACCCUAACCUUCACCCCCUCACACCCUCACUUUCUCACUCCCUCACUCUAUAAUCUUCUCAACCUCUAACCCCCUCACCCUCUGACCCCUCACCCUCUAACUCUCUCAAUCUCUAACCCCAACCCUCUAACACCCACCCUCUAACCCCAAACCACAUAUCCCAAACAAACCCAACACCAACCCCAACCCUAAACCUAAACCCUAACCCCUAAAACCUAACCCAAACCCUAACGACUAAACCCCAAAACCCUAAACCCCAAACUGCAACCCCUAACACCUAACCUGUAACUCCAAACUCUAACCUCAAACCCUAGACCUAACCCUUACACCUAACCCCAACCAAAAAACCCUAACUCUAAACUCUAACCCCAAACCCUAAGGACCCUAACUCUAACAACCUUAACCCUAACAUCCCUAACCCCAAACCCUAACCCUUUUUGUUAGCAGCCGUAGCACUUAACCACUAGCCACCAGGGUUUCCAUGAGCAGUCACAGGAAUAGACAUAUGCACACCCGUGUUCACUGCAACAUUAUUCACAGUAGCAAAAAGAUGGAAACAACCUAAGUGCUCGUCCACAGAGGAAUGGAUAAACAAACUACGGUACAUACACACAGUGGAACACUACACGACAAUAAAGACCAAUGAUGAAUCUCCGAAACAUCUCACACCAUGGAUGAAUCUGGGGCGCAGCACACUGACUAAGUCAAUCACAAAACGACAUAUACAGUAAGAGACCACUAUCAUAAAAACUCAUGAAAACAUUUACGCACAGAAACAAUCCUUGAUGUUCACCAGGGAGACGAAGAGUGGGCAGAGAAAAGCUAAGUAAACAAUAACCAAAAAAACCAAACCCACUGCCGUCGAGUCGAUUCCAGCUCAUAGAGACCUAUAGGACAGAUUAGAACUGCCCCAUAGAGUUUCCAAGGAGUGCCUGGUGGAUUCGAACUGCAGACCUUUGGUUAGCACCGGUGGCUCUUAACCACUACACCACCAGAGUUUCCAACCAAACAACAGAUAUGUGGUAAUUCUGGUGAAGGAAGAGACGGUACACAAGACUGGGGAAUGAACCUCAGCCUCACUCUAACCCUAACCCUAACCCUAAACCACUUGUGCCCGAGCCUAGUAACCCCAGCCCUAACCCCAACCCCCAACCACCUAAAACCUAUACCCCUCAACCUAACUCCCAAACCUCUAACCCCCAAACCUGGACCCCUAACACCAAACCCUAACCCCUAACCCUAACCCUAAUCCUCUAACCCUUCUGCAUCUCUGGGCCUCUCAACUCUCCGUCUGUUUUCUCCCUCCAAAUCCUACUAACACUCAGUGGAAUUUUGAAGUUUCAGCUGUGCUUUGCUUCUUGUUGUCUCCACCGGUCCCAUCAAGGCACUGCAUCAUUUGCUCUGCUUCACUAUUGAGUUCCAAAACCAUGGAUUAGAAUCGCCUGACACUGAACUUCAGCGAUUCGGCGCA